GAUUUUAGCAUGGAAUAAUGGAAUAGGACGUGUGGUUCUAUUUUGUUGGUUUCUAGGACCGCCGUAAUGAUUAAUAGGGACAGUCGGGGGCAUCAGUAUUCGAUUGUCAGAGGUGAAAUUCUUGGAUUUAUUGAAGACGAACUACUGCGAAAGCAUUUGCCAAGGAUGUUUUCAUUAAUCAGGAACGAAAGUUGAGGGAUCGAAGACGAUCAGAUACCGUCGUAGUCUCAACCAUAAACUAUGCCGACUAGGGAUCGGGCGAUGUUUUAUAUUGACUCGCUCGGCACCUUACGAGAAAUCAAAGUCCUUGGGUUCUGGGGGGAGUAUGGUCGCAAGGCUGAAACUUAAAGGAAUUGACGGAAGGGCACCACCAGGAGUGGAGCCUGCGGCUUAAUUUGACUCAACACGGGGAAACUCACCAGGUCCAGACACAUUAAGGAUUGACAGAUUGAGAGCUCUUUCUUGAUCAUGUGGGUGGUGGUGCAUGGCCGUUCUUAGUUGGUGGAGUGAUUUGUCUGCUUAAUUGCGAUAACGAACGAGACCUUAACCUGCUAAAUAGCCAGGCCCGCUUUGGCGGGUCGCCGGCUUCUUAGAGGGACUAUCGGAUUUCAAGUCGAUGGAAGUUUGAGGCAAUAACAGGUCUGUGAUGCCCUUAGAUGUUCUGGGCCGCACGCGCGCUACACUGACAGAGCCAACGAGUACAUUUCCUUGGCCGGAAGGACUGGGUAAUCUUGUUAAACUCCGUCGUGCUGGGGAUAGAGCAUUGCAAU
RNAcentral lists this ribosomal RNA (770 nucleotides) under uncultured fungus. RNAcentral's name for it is "SSU rRNA". It matches the Rfam family "Eukaryotic small subunit ribosomal RNA", at positions 800 to 1590 of the family's 1831-position model. Lineage: Eukaryota; Fungi. The record is from RNAcentral.